Hippocampus comes (tiger tail seahorse) is the source of this 74-nucleotide small nucleolar RNA. Lineage: Eukaryota; Metazoa; Chordata; Actinopteri; Syngnathiformes; Syngnathidae. The record is from Ensembl.
UGUGCUAGUGAUGACUUCCUGUUACCGCCCCAGUCUGAAGAUUCAUGACUGAUUGGUACAACUCCUGAGCCACA